UACAUGGGGUGCAAACGUUGCUCGGAAUUAUUGGGCGUAAAGCGCACGUAGGCGGUUUGUUAAGUCGGAUGUGAAAUCCCUUGGCUCAACUGAGGAAGUGCAUCCGAAACUGACAAGCUGGAGUACGUAAGAGGGUCGCGGAAUUCCCGGUGUAGAGGUGAAAUUCGUAGAUAUCGGGAGGAACACCGGUGGCGAAGGCGGCGACCUGGGACGAUACUGACGCUGAGGUGCGAAAGCGUGGGGAG
This 245-nucleotide ribosomal RNA is filed under the name uncultured bacterium. RNAcentral describes it as "partial 16S ribosomal RNA". It matches the Rfam family "Bacterial small subunit ribosomal RNA", at positions 524 to 768 of the family's 1533-position model. The record is from RNAcentral.